AUUGAACGCUGGCGGCAGGCUUAACACAUGCAAGUCGAGCGGAGAGAGGUAGCUUGCUACUGAUCUUAGCGGCGGACGGGUGCGUAAUGCUUAGGAAUCUGCCUAUUAGUGGGGGACAACAUUUCGAAAGGAAUGCUAAUACCGCAUACGUCCUAAGGGAGAAAGCAGGGGAUCUUCGGACCUUGCGCUAAUAGAUGAGCCUAAGUCGGUUUAGCUAGUUGGCGGGGUAAAGGCCUACAAAGGCGACGAUCUGUAGCGGGUCUGAGAGGAUGAUCCGCCACACUGGGACUGAGAAACGGCCCAGCCUCCUGCGGGAGGCAGCAGUGGGGAAUAUUGGAAAAUGGGCGGAAGCCUGAUCCAGCCAUGCCGCGUGUGUGAAGAAGGCCUUAUGGUUGUAAAGCACUUUAAGCGAGGAGGAGGCUACUUAGAUUAAUACUCUAGGAUAGUGGACGUUACUCGCAGAAUAAGCACCGGCUAACUCUGUGCCAGCAGCCGCCGUAA
RNAcentral lists this ribosomal RNA (501 nucleotides) under uncultured bacterium. RNAcentral's name for it is "partial 16S ribosomal RNA". It matches the Rfam family "Bacterial small subunit ribosomal RNA", at positions 30 to 523 of the family's 1533-position model. The record is from RNAcentral.